CACGCUACACUGUUCGUGGUGAUGCAGGAUAUCAGAUGGACUGACCGACUGACCUAUGCAUCCUCGCUGGCCAAGGAGAGAUCAGGGACUUCAUCCAGACCAAACGUCUCUUUAUAAAGUCUCUCUGUGGAGUCCUCAUCUCCAGUCCUCCUAUCAUUGGUAUUCUGUGGGAGAGCUGCUCGACCGCUGGGAGGAUAUGGUGGGCUGUGUACGAUACGCUGUGCGUUCACUGCUGAUGAGUUGAUGAUGGUCACAGAGUUAAACAGAGUAUGAAAACACCAUCUCCCCUGGACGGACGUGACGGCCAUCUUAACUUGUCCAGCACAGCACAGCAACCAGUGAUCCGGGUCAACAGCAUCAAUGUAACAGUAUAGCUUCCGUCCCUCUCCUCGCCCUUACCUGGGCUCUAACCAGGGACCCUCUGCACACAUUGACAACAGCCACCCUCGAAGCAUCGUUAUCCAUCGCUCCACAAAAGCAGAGCAAGGGGAACACCUACUUCAAGGUCUCAGAGCGAGUGAC
Long non-coding RNA from Oncorhynchus tshawytscha (Chinook salmon), 522 nucleotides. The record is from Ensembl. Lineage: Eukaryota; Metazoa; Chordata; Actinopteri; Salmoniformes; Salmonidae.